UCUCUCCAAAACUUGGUCUUCUUGUUGCCUAUCUACUGCCCAAGGUGUAUGGACAACUUUUAGUGAGGGAAAGUGCAAGGAAGAAGCUUAGAUCAAGUUUGCAUGAAGCUUUCAAGUGGACGGCAAUGGAGGUUCUCUCAAGACCACUUUCGGCUAGUUCUUUGAGAGGUGAGGAAGAAGAUGAUUUGCUGUCCAAAUGAAGAGGUAGUGGUCCACUUAGAUGAGUUAGUGGAGCACUAUGUUAAAAUUAAAUAUUAGUUUAAUCUAAAGUUUCAUUUUCCCACAUUAAGCUCUCAAUUUUUGCUAUUUACAUUAGGU
Molecule: unclassified non-coding RNA, 318 nt
Filed under: Hevea brasiliensis (rubber tree)
Lineage: Eukaryota; Viridiplantae; Streptophyta; Magnoliopsida; Malpighiales; Euphorbiaceae
Source: RNAcentral